Molecule: ribosomal RNA, 170 nt
Filed under: uncultured bacterium
Lineage: Bacteria
Description: partial 16S ribosomal RNA
Rfam family: Bacterial small subunit ribosomal RNA
Source: RNAcentral
AAGCUGGAUUCGCUAGUAAUCGCGCAUCAGCCAUGGCGCGGUGAAUACGUUCCCGGGCCUUGUACACACCGCCCGUCAAGCCAUGGGAGCCGGGGGUACCUGAAGUCCGUAACCGAAAGGAUCGGCCUAGGGUAAAACUGGUGACUGGGGCUAAGUCGUAACAAGGUACC